Molecule: long non-coding RNA, 30470 nt
Filed under: Gossypium barbadense (sea-island cotton)
Lineage: Eukaryota; Viridiplantae; Streptophyta; Magnoliopsida; Malvales; Malvaceae
Description: long non-coding RNA (GBAR_LNC022952)
Source: RNAcentral
AAACAUGAGCUUGAAAGGUUGAGAUGAGUUAGAUUUUGGAGUUCAUCAAACCCAUAGGAAAACAGAGUGGUAUUAAAGUUGUUUCCAGCAAGAUUCAGGUGUUGAAGAUGAUGGAGAUCGAAUAUGGAGUGAAAGCUGCCUGAAAGGUUUUUGUAACUAAGAUCAAUGCCAACGACAUGACCAUAAGCAUCACAAGUGACUCCUUCCCAAGAACAACAAUCAGUGUUGACAUCCCAGAGGUCAAAAUUGGAAGAGAAAGUAAAAUUAGGGGCAUAGUAAAGAUGAUGCUGCAAUUGCAGGAGAGGAGCUCUCUGGUCUUCAAGGCAUUGCUUAGGGAGAUGAGUUUGAGGAGGUGAAAAAGACAAGACAAGAGAAAGGAAGCAUGAGAAGAGGAAGAGUGAAAUAAGGAAAUGAAGAGUGUUCAUGUUUGUUGGGUGUGAAGAAGGAUUGUGCUUGGCAUACAACUUAUUUAUACACAAAUGUGUAGUUUUCAUGUUUGGCAUAGCAUGCAAUUUCCAAGUCUUUUUGCCCAGUCAAUACUGCAUCAAAAUAAUGUUCCACCACUUUAGUUAAGUCUUUUUGGUUAACCUUUUCCAGCAAGGGAUAAUAAUAAUAAUAAUACUAAUAAUAAAUAAUUUAUAGCAUAAAUUAUUUGUUGUUAGUAUUAGAAAUAAGUUGUUAAAUUCACAUUUAAUUUGCGUUUUAAUAUAUUAUUAGAGAAUAAUAUAUUAUUGAUGUCAUUUUUUUAAUAUUUAAUUUUUAUGUUUUAUAUUAAUAAAUAUUUUUAUAAUUCGAGUUUCGAGUUGAAUUUUACAAUUUAAAUAACUCAAAUACUUCAAACAAUAAAUUGAUGUACAUGCUCCUUUGGUCCCUGUCAAUUUUAAAAAUUAACAAAUUGAUCUCUCUCAACAAAAGUUUUCAAAUAAAAUUUUAAAUAAUUUUUAAAAUCAAAAUAUUCAUAAAAAUUCUCAAAUUUAUAUUUUGUAAAAACUAUAAUAAUUUUAAAUCAUAAUGGUUUUAAUUUGAAAAUUUUAAAAUCUUUAAUUUAGGACCAGAAAAAAUUGUAGUAUGAAAUAUUAUAGGCCUUUUAAUUUAGGUAUUAAGUCUUUGGCAUUGCAUGCAAAUGUCCAAGUUUUUAUUGCACAAAAAUAAUGUUUAACCAAUGUGUACAAGUCAAGUCACCUUAUAGAUUGAUGGACACAAUAAGUGGAAAUUUUGAUGAUAGAAUAUAUAGAAUUUUUCACUUUUGAAAGAUACAUUUUUAAAUUUCAGCUUUCAAACUUUCUUAAAGCUUGAGAAAUAUUUUCAUUUCUAUAUUAUUAUUUAAUUAUUAUUUAAUUUUAAUAUUUUAAUAUUUUAUAAUAUUAAAAAUAGUUAUAAUUCGAGGUUCGAGUUGAAUUUUAUAAUUUAAAUAAUUCGAAUAAUUCAAACAACAGAUUGAUAUAUUUACUCCUUUGAUUCUUGUCAAUUUUAAAAAUUAACAAAUUAAUAUUCUCUCUCAACAAAAAUUACAAAAAUAUAUUAAAAUAUUUUUAAAGUUAAAAUAUUCAUAAAAAUUCUAAAAUUUAUAUUAUGUAAAGACUAUAAUAAUUUUUUAUUAUUUUGCUUUGAAACAGUUUUUUAAUAUUUAUGAUUUCAAAUAUUAAUUAUACUAUAAUAAGAUUUUAAUUUGACAUAUUUAUUUUUUAAUUUAAAUCAAACAAUUUUACACCCUAAAUAAUUUUGACCUGUCACCAGUAUACACACAGGUCAAAUUAAUACAAAUACAUAAGAGCUCAAAAAUAACACUAAAAAAAACAAUUGUUUGAUUUAUUAGUAGAGAAUUGGAUUUUUAAUUCUAAUGAUUAAAUAUCAAACUCAAACAACUUCAAAUAUAUAUACAUAAAGGAUGUUAUGAAACACUCAUAAAAAUCAUCAAAAAUAAAUGAGACGGGGAUAAUUUUUUGAAGGAUAAGAUGAAAUGUGUUUUAGAAUUAACAUUUUUUUUUCUUUGGCAUGCAAGCUAAUGUUCAAGUCUUUUUACCCAUUAAGGAGUACUCCUAAAUCCCAACUUAUAAAUAUGCUAUGAUCUACCAACGGGUUUAAUUAAAUCCAACACCCCAAAUUAUGGGCUCAACUCUAAAUUCAAGAUUUGGCGUUGCACGCAAAAUGUCUAAGUCUUUGCCCGAUCCUUACUAUAUGAAAACAAUGGUUUACCACUUUGUUUAAGUCAAGUCAUUAUAAACACAAAAAUAAAGCAUUUGUGUUAGCUGGUUGAGAUGGAUUGGUACAAAAUAAGUGCGAGGCUGUACGUACUAAAACCCAACAUGUGUUUGUUAAAAUAAAAACCCAAUGUGCCAGCAAAAGACGGGAGUAGCAGCAGCAGCUGUGUCUCUUUACACAAUCAGUAUAAUGUCUAUUAGAUAUGGCUUUCAUGUUUGCUGGCUGUGAAGGAGGAUUGUUUCCAUACAACUUAUUUAUACAAAAAUUAGUAAUUUCCAUACAUUAUUUUUAAUUUUGGACUCACCCCGAUCACUACUGCCUGAAAAUAAUGUUGUUCCACUAAUUUUAUUUUAGUCAAUUAAUAAAAAAAAUGGAAUUGUGGUGAUAUUUUUUUAACUGAUUGAGAUAGAUUGAUGGCUCAAAGACUAAAUUUUCUCAUAACUUUGAUGACUUUUCAAUGAACUUAAAAGUGUAUGGAAUCAAUAGAAAACUAUGGAAUGAGAUAUUAUUGGACUUAAUUAGUCUUAGCCUUUUGUCACUGCAUGCAAAUGUCUAAAUCUUUUUGACCCCAUCAAAACAAUGUUUAGCAAUUGUUUCUUAGGUAGUUGAGAUGGAUUGAUGGGCACAAGUAGUGGAAAUUUUGAUGAUACAAUGUUUAUAGUUUUCCUCUUCUUAGUAAUUUCUUUGAAAGAAACAUAUUUAAAUUUCCACAUUAAUAUUUUUUUAGAUUUAAUUGAAUUUAUCAAAGACAAAUGAGACUAACGAGAUGUCUUAUAUUAUUAACAAUUUUUUAAUUCUUUGAAAAAACUAAUUUGAAUUUCAAAUUUUUUUUUCAAUUUCAAAAUGCUACAAAUCAAACAAAUCAGGAAUAAAAAUUUAAUUUGCCAUUCUCCUCCUAUUAGGAAGGGAUAUAGAUGACGUGAAUAAAGAGAAUGGAUUGUAGGAAACUAUAAUUUCAUGUCAUCCUAACAAAUCACAUUUUGUUCUCCUAAUUUUCAACCUUUUCCUCUUGGAAAAAUUCAAAUCCAAUUAAAAAUGCUACAAAUUAGACAAAUUAGGAAUAAAAAUUUAAUUUAUUAUUCUCCACUUAUUAAAAAGGGACAGAAAUAACGUGAAAUUACAGUUUCAUAUCAUUCUUUCCCUUAAAUAAAUUCUUUUAAAUGUUUUACAAUGAUAAAAUUGUCGCUUGAAUAAAUUCUUAUAAAUGUUUUACAAUAAGAGAAUUGAUUAUUUUUAUUAAGAUCACAUAUUUAUUUCUAAUGUUUUAGAUUGUUUGCCAAUACUAAAAACCACACCACAUUAUAAAGAAUCAUUUAUUUCAUAUAUUUUAAUUUUUAUCAUAAUUUACUUUUGGCUACAUCCAAAGGGUUAAUUCCUUAAAUUAUGGACUAAAUUUUAAAUUGAUCUCUAAAUUUUUUAAAAAAAAAUUAAUUACUCAAACAAUAAAUCACAUUCUAAUUUGAAAUUUUUAAUUUUGGACUAACAAAGAAAAUAUUAGUGUGAGAUAUUGUUGGCCUUUGGCUAACAUUGGAAAGCAUACUAGAUUUUAAGACAUAAUUUAUUUCAUUAAAUUUUAAUUAUUAUUUUUAUUUUUAUCAUAUAAUUAUCUAAUUCAAUCAUAUUUUUGAAAUUAAUAAAACUAUCACUGAAACGAUAAAUAAACUAGUAUAAAAAUAAGUGUCUAGCUGAACUAAAACCCGGACCAACAUUAUAAACUAAUUAAAAUGAUUUUCUACUAUUUUAAUAAUUUGGACUAAUUAAUAACAUUAUAAAGAUGUAAUGCCUAAAUUAUGUUAAAGAUUAAAGUAUAUAUAUGUAUGUAUACAUAUUACUAUUUUUAACCAAUUCUUUUUAUAUUAUAUAUAUAUGAAUAUAUUUUUUUAAAUGCAAAUAUAUAUAUUUUUUAUAUACUUUAUAAUUUAUUUUUUCCUUUUACUUUCGUAAAUGCAUCAUGUAUGUAUAAGUUUCAUAGCCCAAAAUUUAUUUGUAAAUUAUAUGUAUAUUUUUAAUCUUCAUAAUUUUCAUGUGUGUAUUAUAUGUCUUCUGAUUUUUAUUUAUUUUGUUUGUUUUCCUCAUUCGAGGUAUAAUUGUGUUUACAUUUAAUGUUUUGCAUGUCAUGGAUCAUUAUUUUUUUAUUUCGUUUAUUUAUUUGUUUAUAUUAUUUUUAUGCCAUUAAUGUAUUUAUUAUCGUUGUAUUUAUUAUUAUAGCAUUUGUAUGUAUAAUAUAACGUUACAUCAUCUUUUACUCAAAUUUAAAAUUAGAAAAUUUCCAAGAUUGAGAUAAUGCUCGUAUUAAGGAUUUUCAAGGAAAUUGAGCCCUAACGUAUUGGGUUCCGAUUUUCUUCGUUAAAUCCAACGAUCGAGCAUUUCUCUUUAAUCAAAAAUAAUAACUCAUUAUUGGGAAUUCAACACGUUGUGUCCUAACGUAUUGGAUGUGACGCAUUGAUUUCUCGAAAUGAAGAUUUUUUAAAAAUAAUAAAGGGAAUAUUCCGAAUUUGGGAUUUUAAAGGAAUUGUGCCCUAACGUAUUGGGUGUGAUUUCUUAAAUCUUGGAUAAGUGGAUGUUCUUUUAAAGUAAAGGAAAUAUUCCGAGUUUGGGAUUCUAAAGGGAUCGUGCCCUAACGUAUUGGGUGUGAUUUUUAAAUCUUGGAUGAGUGGAUGUUCUUUUAUUCUGACCUAAUUCAUUUUGGGGAAAAUUAGAAUGUUGUGCCCCAACGUAUUGGGUGUGGCAUUUUUGCUUCUCUGAAUUGAAAAGGGUAUUAAUAUGCAACGUUUUAAGUUUUUUAAAAGAUUAUUUUAAAAUUUUCGACCUUAAGACAUUAAUUAAUUAACUAGGUACCAAUUUUUGGGCGUAAUGGGGGUGCUAAUCCUUCCUCAUACGUAACCGACUUCCAGACCCGUUUUUUUAAAAAGAAUUCGUAGACCAAAGCCGUUUUAGGUGAUCCAAUCACACCUUACUAAAAGAUUGGUGGCGACUCCGAAUUUUCUUUUUUUAAGUCGACAACCUAAAAAUUUUGUUGUUUUCAAAAAAAUGGUUUCGACAAUUAGUAUUUUUCUUAAUCAUUUUCAUAGUAUUGUGGCAUACCAAUUCUUCCCUGCAUCUGGGAAACUAGUUUAAUGCUCUGUUUCAUUGGAUAAAUUUCCCUAAAAAGUAUGUGUACAUUGUAAUAAUAGUGUGAGAUAGUGUUGGCCUUUGGCUAACAUUGGAAAACAUAUACUAGAUUUUAACACAAAAAUUCUUUCAUUAUAUUUUAAUUAUUAUUAUCAUAUUAUUACAUACAAAGUUUAAUUGAAUUGUAAUUUUUAACGUAAUAAGGCUAUCAUUGAAAGGAUAAAUAGAUUAAUAUAAAAACAAGUGUCAAGUUUCACUAAAACCCGGACCAACGGGUCCACCCUUUACACCCGGACCUAAAUUUAACUCGAAUAAUUUCAUAUGAUAAUGUUUUUUAUAUACCCUAUAAUUUUGACCGGUCAACACUAUAAACACACGUAAAAUACAAAUACAUAAGAGCUCAAAAAUAACACUAAAAAAAACAAUUGUUUGAUUUAUUAGUAGAGAAUUGGAUUUUUAAUUCUAAUGAUUAAAUAUCAAACUCAAACAACUUCAAAUAUAUAUACAUAAAGGAUGUUAUGAAAAAUAAAAUUAACAAAUGAAAAAACAUAAGGAACAUUUCAGUAGCAACUUUUUACAUAGACAUCAAAUAAAGAAACACUCUUAAUUUUACUUUUGUUUGUCUCUCUUCUUCUUUUUUUACCUUUCUUGUAUGAAACUAAAUGCAAGAAAAGUAAAGAUUAGAAUCCAAAUACGAAUUUCAAACCUGUAGGGCUGAGUAUCUAGAUUCGAGACUAUAUUUAGUUCAGGAGAUGUAUAAUCAGGGAGUCUGCCACUGAGAACUUUUUCCCAUAUCUUUGGUUUUGUGAAGGAGGAAUAUUGUGCCUGAUAAAAUUAUAAUAAAUCCACAUAAUUCUGUUGUAAUCUCUGUCCCGCCUUAUGAAUAGGAUUGUAUAUAAAUCAAGUUUAAUCCGUCAGUUUAUUUUUUUUGGCCUAUUAGUGUUCACGUUUAUGCAUAUAAACUAAAUAAAUAUGUCUACGAUGUUCAUGAAAAUAGUCAAACAUUUCCAUAAGAAAGUUAGUCAAACUCAAAAAUAAAAAUAAAAUUUGUUGAUUUACACUCCCUACCUAUAUAAGUGGAGUAAGGAUGUAUAUAGAUAAAAACCUUACCUUAAACAUGAUAAUGCUGGCAAUAAUGGUGAACGUUGUGAACAUGACAUAGUAAACAGGACAUACAACAGUAGUAUUAAAAGUGUCUAAAGCAUGCAAAAUUGUAAGCUUUUAGUAGCAUCAAGAAUAAUAACAAUAACUUAAAUUUAGAGUCAAUCAUCAUAUUAAAUCAAGAAUACAAGGUUGAAAGAAAUUAUUUAAAAAAAAACACGUUUAUGCUUUUUUAUUCUAUAAGCAAUUUAAUAAUAAGCAAAUUGAUCUCUCAACAAAAAUUACAAAAUAAUUUUUAAAAUUCAAAAUAUUUAUAAAAAUUUCAAAUUUCAAAUUUCACUUCACUCAACUCAAUUCGAAAAAAUGUCAAAUCGAGUUAGGAUGAUAAAUAUGACUCAUCAGUUCAAUUAACUCAAAAAAUUUUCACUUGAUUUGAUCAAACACUCAUAAAAAUCAUCAAAAAUAAAUGAGACAGAGAUAAUUUGUUAAAGUAUAAGAUGAAAUGUGUUUUAGAAUUAACAUUUUUUUUCUUUGGCAUGCAAGCUAAUGUUCAAGUCUUUUUACCCAUUAAUAAAUCCUAAUUUAUUAAGUAGUAUCCAACUUAUAAAUAUGUUAUGAUCUAUCAACGGGUUUAAUUAAAUCCAACACCCCAAAUUAUGGGCUCAACUCUAAAUUCAAGAUUUGACAUUGCAUGCAAAUGUCUAAGUCUUUGCCCGAUCCUUGCUAUAUGAAAACAAUGGUUUACCCCUUUGUUUAAGUCAAGUCAUUAUAAGCACAAAAUAAAGCAUUUGUUUUAGCUGGUUGAGAUGGAUUGACGGGAAUAUGGAGUGGAAAUUAUGAUGACGACACAAUUUCUGCGAAACAGAUUAGUACAAAAUAAAUGCGAGGUUGUACUAAAACCCAACAUGUGUUUGCCCGAUCAAUACUGCAUGAGAUGGAUUGAUGGGCACCACUUAUGACUUAUGGGUGGAAAUUUUGAUGAUAAAAAGUGUGGGGUUCUUCUGAAAUUUACUUUGGGUUGAUUGAAAUUGAUGAUCACAGAUUAGUUGAAAUGUCUUACAAUAUUAGCCACUUUUCAAUCCUUUACACUUUCAAAGUUUGUCCAACCAAUUGAAAUGCAACAAGCAUAUAGUUUUUUAAGUCCAAAAUUAGAUUCUUUUUAUUGGUUUACAUAAUUAAUUUUCAUUUUCUCUUCAAUUAUUUAAAUCUAUUAUCUUUCUUUUAUUUUUUCAUGAACAAAGAUAAAAUCAUAAUUGGAUUAAGUCGGGUCAGGUCAUUCUAGAGCAAUAAUCAUAUAAUUUUUGAAGAAUUUUAUCCAAUGGUUGCAUAUAGCUAUACACGCCUAGAUGCCUUGAAAAUAUCAUUGCUUCCGGUCCAUCGACUACUCAGUUACCCUAUUUGAAUACAUGUGUCACCCUAAUCAUCCAAAGACAUUGAAUAAUUUCUUUAAUAAUUCGUAACACAGCUAAAUGGUGGAACUCAACUGAUCAUCUUGAAUCAAUUAGAUUGUAGUCAUAUUAUUCAUCUCAAGGACAAUCCAUUGAAAACCUAAUCUCUAAGUCAUUUGAAAUCCCUCCAAAGCUCCGCAAAGCUCGACAUUGAGUGUAUAACAACAUAAUGUAUUUAGAGACAAAGCUCAUAGAUUUAUUUUCUAAUUAGGAAAUUAUAUGUUUUUAGUGUAGGACUAAUAAAGAAACGAUAGUAUGCAUGGGUUUUUAUCAAAUGGAGUCUUUGACUUAGUCUUGGCAUGCAUACUUGCAAAUGACUCCUAUUGCCCAGUCAUUACUUAAUUAUGUUCUACUAAUUUCCAGGCCGGUUCUUAAUAUUUUUGGGCUUCAGGCAAACAAUAAAUUAGACUUUUUUUAAAAAAAAUUAUAUAAAAUGUAAUGCAAUAACAGCUGAACAUAUUUUGCGGCUUAGGUGAUGAAAUAUUUAUGGUGAAAAAUUAAAAAUCUUAUGCAUCUAAUUAAUUUAUUUUAGUCUGAAAUUUUUUUUCUUAUAUUAAAAACUGAAAAAAAUAAAUUUUUAAGCCCCUUCCACGAUUAUACUCUCAAAUAACCCGAUUGCCGGGGUUGCUAGUUUCCUUAAAAACCACAGAAAUAUAUUAAUCAAGUGAUAGAGACGCAGUGCAAUUUCAACACAAUUUGAAAAAGAUUGAACUUUUAAACUUUCUUGGUUUAAUUGAAAUCACUAAACUAAAUGAAAAAUGAAUUAGUGGAGAUGCCUUGGACGCUUUCUAAUUUCUUUCAAAAAAACUACUUCAAAAAUAUAUCUAUUUUUUCAAACUAAAUAAGAUUAAAGAGUUUGCUGACUGGCAACGGCGCCGUCGUUCACGUUGGCCCGGAAAAAUUAAAAAUUUUCCUUUUUUCUUUCCUCUCUCUAUUGGCCUCCCGAGCUUAGAUCUACCGAUCACCGUCCAAAAAAGUAAGAAAGUUUUGAUUUUUUUUCUUUUUUUUUGUUUCUUAUAUAUAUAUAUAUAUAUAUUCAAAAUAAAUAAAUAAUGCCUACCGGCUAAAUUUGAAACAAGAAUUCUGAUGGGAGUCACCUACAUCUUCUUCUAUUUCUUUUCCCACACUUUUUGAACUUAUCAACCCAUUUGUUUCCCAACUCAUUCAGCAUUCUAUAUCCAGCUCAUUUAUUUUCCCUCAAACUUUUAUUCCCCUAAACUUUUUAUUUUUCCCCUAAACUUUUACUUCUCAUCCUUUACUCCCAAAUAAAAAAAUCAAAAUUAUCCAAAAAACCCCUUAAACAUAAAUAGUAAUACUUUUAUUUAUAUCUACUAUUUAUAUUAUUAAAUUAAAUUUCACAUUUUAUAUUAUUUAUAUUAUUGAAUUGUUUAGUCAUAUUGAAUAUUUAUAUUAAAUUUGAAUUAUUAAUGAUGCCAUAAAAUAUUCAUGUUAAAAUUUUAUAUUGGUAUCAAUUUCACAUUUUAUCUUUAAAAUAACUUUUAUUAAAAAAAAGCACAUUUUUACAUUUAAUAUUUUUUUAAUUCCAAAAUACAUAGUGACAAGAAUCUGAAGAUAAUUGAAACAACUAAGCAAGCAAAGAAGCUAACACAUAUAUAAAAGAUUAAAAUAUAAAUUAUGAGGUGAUGAAAGUUAAUAACAAAUUUGAUUAUGGUAGACAAAUUUUAUUACGGUGGGUGACAGUGGUUACAACUACUCAAAAUUAUUUUUAAAAAUUUGACUUGAAUGAAUUCCAUCACAUUUGACUUGAUUCCAGAAAAUUUCAAAUUAAAUUAAGAUGAUAAAAUAUGAUUCAUCAACUUGAUUAACUCGAAAUUUUUCCAUUCCAUUCGAUUCGAUUUCAUUCGAUCGAACACUCACCCCUAACUGCAUGAAAGUAAUGUUCAACCACUUUGUUUAAUUCAAGUCAUUAAAAUAUCAAGUAGUGGAAAUUUCUAAGUCUUUGAUAUGAAUGCAAAAUUCUAAGUCUUUAUAACUGCAUGCCAAUAAUAAUGAUGAUGAUGAUGUACCAAUUUGAUUAAGGAAGGUCAUUAAAAAAAAGAAAUAAUGGUAAUUUUUUAAUAAAAUAAUUUAUUAUUGAAUUUUUUAAGUAAAAUUUGGUAUAAGACCCAAAAAUGGUAUAAAAUUAUUCAUUGAACAUAUAUAAACAUUAUCGUUGAUAAAAAAAAUUUUAAUACUUUAUACUUAUAAAAAAAUGAUAACAUGAGAUAUUAUUGCCUUUAAUCUUAGUCGUUGGCAUUGCAUGCAGAUGCAAAUGUUAAAAGUCUUUUUGCCAUAUCAUUAAUGCAUGAAAACCUAUGUUGAACCACUUUGUUGAACUCUUAAUAUUCUUCUUAUUAAUGCCAGGUUUCAAUCUUCUUGUCGGCUCUUUAUUCUAUAUAAAUGAUUUUCUAAUUUUAAUUUUCUUAAAUUUUAAUCAUUAAAAAAAUAAAAUUAUAGCAAUAAUAAUGUCCUUUAAACCUUAUUAGAGCCAUGAUUACACGUAGAAUGAACAAAGAUAUUUUUGUUCUAACUUCACUUGAAAUAAUGGUUGAAGUUGUUGCCUACCCUAAUCAGCACCAAAAACAUGUCAUCUACCUAAUCAGUCACACCUUCUCCUAUACGCACAUUAAAACCAAUAUUAUUGAUUGUAAAGCAUUCCGUUGUCAAGAUUUAUGACCAUAGACCUAACCAUAAUACUCAAUAAAUUCGCCAACACCACCAUGACCAUGUUUCCUCAACAUUGGUGUUAGAGUCAAAACCAGAUUGGUUUCUGUUACACCGUCUCGAAAUUUCCCAGACAACAUGGACCAUAGGCUGCUGAAUUUUGAAAAUUGAAAUUUUGUAUUGAAUUUCACUUCUAAGUUUUGGUUUUACAAAAGUUUAGGAUAAUGUCAAUAAUUUUGCAUGCUUCGACCGCUACCGCCCACAAUCAGUGCUCCAUGGAUUAUAACAGGCUUUGCAUGCUUCAACCAUUACUACCUUUCUAGCCACAAUGAGAAGGCCAGCAUAUAUAAAAUUCAGCUCAAUUGAUGGCCUUUGGUCGAAAAUAGUUUAUGAUCAUACCAAUUAAAACGCAAUCAUAGGACAUAUAGUCUAUUAAAUCUAAAAUAUGGAUUUUUUUCCCUUUCUUUUUUCUUCAUGUGCUAAUUUUUAUUUCUUGUAAAUAUUUUAAAUAAGUAUUAAUUUCUAUAAAUUCGUUUAAAUGUUUCGUGAAUCAUUUGAAUAAACUACUAUAUUUAUAGUAAAAAUGAGGUUGCAAUUGCAAGAGAGGAGAUAUGUGAUCAUCAAAGCGUUGGCUUGGGAGAUGAGAUUGAGAAAGAGAGGAUGAGAAGAGAAAGAAGAAAGGAAGAAAAAGUGAAACAAGGGAAUGAAGAGUCUUCAUGUUGGUCAAACCUGGUCCAAGACCAUCCAGAAUGCCCCAUAGUUUUGAAUUAUGAGUUUUAUUGGUCUUGUUAAUCAUAUUAAUUUCAAUAUAUUCAUAGACUUAGUCUUAGCCUGUGGCAUUGCAUGCAAAUGCCUAAAUCUUUUUGCAUGAAAACAAUGUUUACCAAACCAAUUCCAAUUCUUUGAAAAAAUUAAUUCCAAUUCCAAAAGGUUUUUUUAUUUUUUUUAUUUCAAAAUUUACCAAACCAAUUGAAACCCAAUGAGAUUAAAGAAUAUAUAAUUAUUUAAAUCUAAAAUAUGAUUUUUUUAUUCGUACAAAACACGGCUAAUUUUAAAUUUUUGUGGUCUCCACAAAUGGCCAGCUACCUGCACAAGGACACUGGCAAAUAACCGCCUGCAGCAGUACAUUCCUCAGCACCAUUCCGCACAGCCAAGGCACCGCAGCUCUAUGAGGAGCACAUACUCCUCUCCAAGCUCCUGGAUCCAAUAAAAAUACAAAAGGAGGUUAGCACCGCCGCCGCCAGAUUUGCCCAUAUGUUAAGAGAAUUCAUCAAUGAAAUUCAUAAGCCCAAUAACAAGGGUGAUUCCAUUACCAUUUUUUUGUUAUUAGUAUUUUUCUUAGUAUUGUAGCAUACCAAUUCUUCCCUGCAUCUGGGAAACUAGUUUAAUCCUCUGUUUCAUUGGAUAAAUUUCCCUACAAAGUAUGUGUACAUUGUAAUGAUAAUGUGACACGUUGUUGGCCUUUACUAGACUGUAAGACAUAAUUUCUUUCAUUAUAUUUUAAUUAUUAUUAUCAUAUUACAUACAAAGUUUAAUUGUAGGGUAUUUUUUUAAAGUAAUAAAACUAUCAUUGAAAGAAUAAAUUGACUAAUCCCAAUACCAAUUUAGAAUAGGAUUAUUGUAUUUAAAGCAGAAGUUCACAGUUGAGUAAACUAAAUCCUAAGAUGAUAAGAUCCAACCAUCCGCGUAUGAUAUAAACUACAUGUAAGAGAACGUCGAGUGCAACAUAUCAGUUUUGGGAUUAACCUUUUCACCAUAUGCUUCUCCUUUUCUCAACUUUAUGCUGCCAAUCUGUGCUUUCUUCUCAGAUUGUUGGCCUGAAAAUUAGAAUAUGAAGCUUCUCAUUUCACUUGCAAUUAUCAUGUUUUUCAUAUGCAUAACAUGGCUAAUUUUUAUUUCUUGUAAAUAAAUAUUUCAUUUCCGUAAAUUCGUUUAAAUGUUUCAUAAUGGGAGAAUCAUUUGAAAAAGCUACCAUAUUUAUAGUGUUUUACAUUGUUUGUCAAUUCCAGAAAACGGACCAUAUUUUAAGAUAUCUAAUUUUUCAUUAUAUUUUACUUACUUAUUUUUAAAGUAAUAAAACUAUUAUUAAAAAAUAAAUAAAUUAUUUGUACAAAAUAAAUGUCAGAUUGCACUAAAACCCGGACCAAUAGAUUUACCCAUUACACCCGAGCCUAAAGCCCAACAUGUGUUUGAUAAUAUAAAACAAAGAAGACAAAACUUAUCAUACUUUGCGUGGUUUUCUACUUGAAAUGAUUCAUUGCCACCAAUUACAUGCAAUGACUUAAUGCUUAGAAGGACAGAGGUCAUUUCCCUGUGACAAAAUAAGAAACACAAGUCAAACCACCAAGAAUAUAACUUCUCAUAAGCAUGCAAAUAUAGGAAUAUUACAUAGGAAAAACAAAAUCACUGUGUCACCACUCCUGCUGCUUAAAUUAAGGAAUUGCAAUGUUGUAUGAUCCAAAAUUAGUUUGCAACAUCAAUCUUUUCAAAAUAUAAAGACUAUAGCUUCAAAAGGAUAUGUUUACCUGUUGACUUUAAUACAUGAAUUCCGACACAGUCACCAAGAUUUUCUUCUGUUUCUUUUCCCAUAUUUUUUGAACUUGUCAACCCAUUUGUUUCCCAACUCAUUCUGUUGUUCCAAUAGGGUCGGAAGCGUGUAAAUUAUUGUACUAAAAAAUCACACAAAGUUCAAUUCCCAGGGAAGAGAGGUGGAUCACAUGGAUCUCUUAAAUACCAAGUCUUUCCUUAGUCAGAAUAUCCCUUCUAUAGUAAUUUAAUAGCACAAUUAAAUACUACUAUUAUACCCUAAAAUAUUGAAAGAAAAAUAGGACAAGAAAGAACACAAGAGUUUUAACGAGGUUCGGUAAAUUAUACCUACGUCCUCGGGCACUAACACUAGAUGAUAACUUUACUAUCUCCAAAAUAUUACAAACAAAUAGAAUUCCUUAAGAAUUCUCAAAUGGGAGAAGAGAGAAAACUAAGAGAGAAAGAUUGGUUGGGAUGGUUGAAAUGAGAAAUGGUUAGGCCUAUUUGAGGUUCAGGGACUAACUUGCAAAUGGCCUAAAAAAUUAGGGACCAAAAUUGCAAUUAUCCCAUUCAACUUUAAACAACUUGCCUAUCACUUUUUUCUUUCGGUGCCACUUGCACCUCCCAUUUUUGACUUUUCAACAAUCUCCACCUUGAAGAUUUGAUUAGGAUAAUCACAUCUUCACACACUUCCUUCAACUCCCCAAAUUAGAUAAAGCUAUCUUUUGUAGCGCCUCCAAAUGCGCUCUCGAGCGCCAUACACCUAAAGGUGCUCAAAUUCUCAGGAUGUUAAUCAAGUUCAAACAAUGAUUAAACUUGAUUGUUGUUACCACCUUGGUCAUCAUAUCUGCGGGAUUAUCUGCUGUCGGAAUCUUCUGAAGUAGAAUUUUUCCUUUUUCAAAGACUUCCCGCACAAAGUGAUAUCAAACAAUUUUACACCAUAAAUAAUUUUGACCUGUCACCAGUAUACACACAGGUCAAAUUAAUACAAAUACAUAAGAGCUCAAAAAUAACACUAAAAACAAACAAUUGUUGGAUUUAUUAGUAGAGAAUUGGAUUUUUAAUUCUAAUGAUUAAAUAUCAAACUCAAACAACUUCAAAUAUAUAUACAUAAAGGAUGUUAUGAAACACUCAUAAAAAUCAUCAAAAAUAAAUGAGACGGAGAUAAUUUACUGAAGGAUAAGAUGAAAUGGGUUUUAGAAUUAACAUUUAUUUUUCUUUGGCAUGCAACCUAAUGUUCAAGUCUUUUUACCCAUUAAUGAGUACUGCUAAAUCCCAACUUAUAAAUAUGUUAUGAUCUACCAACGGAUUUAAUUAAAUCCAACACCCCAAAUUAUGGGCUCAACUCUAAAUUCAAGAUUUGGCGUUGCAUGCGAAAUGUUAAGUCUUUUCCCGAUCCUUACUAUAUGAAAACAAUGGUUUACCACUUUGUUUAAGUCAAGUCAUUAUAAACACAAAAAUAAAGCAUUUGUGUUAGCUGGUUGAGAUAGAUUGAUGGGAAUAUGGAGUGAAAAUUAUGAUGACCACACAAUUUCAUGUUUAAUGUCCAUCAGAUAUGGCUUUCAUGUUUGCUGGCUGUGAAGGAGGAUUGUUUCUAUACAACUUAUUUAUACACAAAUUAGUACUUUCCAUACAUUAUUUUUAAAUUUGGACUAAGCCCGAUCACUACUGCAUCAAAAUAAUGUUGUACCACUAAUUUUAUUUUAGUCAAUUAAUAAAAAAAAUGGAAUAGUGGUGAUUUUUUUUAACUGAUUGAGAUAGAUUGAUGGCUCAAAGAUUAAAUUUUCUCAUAACUUUGAUGACUUUUCAAUGAACUUAAAGUGUACGGAAUCAAUAGAAAAUUAUGGAAUGAGAUAUUAUUGGACUUAGUCUUAGCCUUUUGGCACUGCAUGCAAAUGUCUAAAUCUUUUCUACCCCAUCAAAACAAUGUUUAGCAAUUGUUUCUUAGGUAGUUGAGAUGGAUUGAUGGGCACAAGUUGUGGAAAUUUUGAUGAUAAUGUUUAUAGUUUCCUCUUCUUAGUAAUUUCUUUGAAAGAAACAUAUUUAAAUUUUCACAUUAAUAUUUUUUUAGAUUUAAUUGAAUUUAUCAAAGACAAAUUAAUGAGACUAACGAGAUGUCUUAUAUUAUUAACAAUUUUUUAAUUCUUUGAAAAACUAAUUUGAAUUUCAAAAGUUUUUUUUUUCAAUUUCAAAAUGCUACAAAUCAAACAAAUCAGGAAUAAAAAUUUAAUUUCCAUCCUCCUCCUAUUAGGAAGGGAUAGAGAUAACGUGAAUAAAGAGAAUGGAUUGUAUGAAACUAUAAUUUCAUGUCAUCCUAACAAAUCACAUUUUUUUCUCCUAAUUUUCAACUUUUUCCUCUUGGAAAAAUUCAAAUCCAAUUAAAAAUGCUACAAAUCAGACAAAUUAGGAAUAAAAAUCUAAUUUGUCAUUCUCCACUUAUUAAAAAGAGACAAAAAUAACGUGAAAUUACAGUUUUAUAUCAUUCUUUCCCUUAAAUAAAUUCUUUUAAAUGUUUUACAAUGAUAAAAUUGUCCCUUGAAUAAACUCUUAUAAAUGUUUUACAAUAAGAGAAUUGAUUAUUUUUAUUAAUAUCACAUAUUUAUUUCUAAUGUUUUAGAUUGUUUGCCAAUACUAAAAACCACACCACACUAUAAAGAAUCAUUAUUUUCAUAUAUUUUAAUUUUUAUCAUAAUUUACUUUUGUCUACAUCCAAAGGGUUAAUUCCUUAAAUUAUGGACUAAAUUUUAAAUUGAUCUCUAUAUUUUAAAAAAUAAUUAAUUAAGUCCUCAAACAAUAAAUCACAUUCUAAUUUGAAAUUUUUAAUUUUGGACUAACAAAGAAAAUAUUAGUGUGAGAUAUUGUUGGCCUUUGGCUAACAUUGGAAAGCAUACUAGAUUUUAAGACAUAAUUUAUUUCAUUAAAUUUUAAUUAUUAUUUUUAUUUUUAUCAUAUAAUUAUCUAAUUCAAUCAUAUUUUUGAAAUUAAUAAAACUAUCACUGAAACAAUAAAUAAACUAGUAUAAAAAUAAGUGUCUAGCUGAACUAAAACCCGGACCAACAUGUCUAUCCUUUACACCCGAUCCUAAACCCCAACACGUGAUUGAUAAAAUAUAAAGCUAAUGUCUCUUUGGAAGAGCAAAGGGUGGGAGUAGCAGCAUCUGCGUCUCUUUACACAAUCGGUCCAAUGUCCAUCAAAAAAAGCUUUCAUCAGCAUCAAGCCAUCAAAUCUCCUCAGCUGUUAGGCUCAUUAUUAGGAUCACUGCCUAGAUUAUUCAUGUACCUCAAUGGUAACAUAAAAUUACAAGUACGGUAUGAUAGUGAACUUGGUAAAUAUAUAUAUAUAUAUAAAUCAACAACUAUCUGUUCAAAUUAGAAUGACAAAUGCUUACCAGCUACUUUUGAAGCAAGAAUUCUGAUGGAGUCACCUACAUCUUCUUCUAUUUCUUUUUCCACACUUUUUGAACUUGUCAACCCAUUUGUUUCCCAACUCAUUUAGCACUGUAUAUCCAAUACAUAGCCCAACGACUAAUCCACUAGCAUAACCUAUCAACGCAAUUUUCCAAGUAGACAGAGCAUAAAACCAUGAAUCUCCAUCUUCCCCUGGAGGUGGUGGCAUUGGAAGACCAACUUCAUUGCAUUUCUUGGACAAUGGUGGACCGCAUAAUUUUGGAUUCCCACGGUGAGAAUCAUUUGAAAAUGUACUGAAUUGGUUGCCUUGCGGUAUGCUCCCUUCAAGUGGGUUGUAAGACAAAUUCAAUGCCUCUAGGAAAGUUAGAGUUGUAAGCUGUGGAGGAAUCUUCCCUGAAAGUUUGUUUUGUGAGAGAUCCAAAGAUUCGAGGUCUUUUAGAUUGAAGUGCUAAUGGGAUUUCACCAGAGAAGCCAUUGUUGGAUAAGUUCAUCACUCUGAGUGACCUCAGCAUUUGUAUCUCUUCUGGUAUUCUCCCAUGGAAACUAUUGUUGGAAAGGUCAAGACAAGUAAGAACAGUUAAGAUUUUUGGUAAAAUAGUUCAACCCCCCUGUUAACAAUUGUCACAGAGUCUUUAUAAUAGACGUCCCCAAUGUAAACCCGCUUAGCCUUUUCAUCAUUAGUCAUCUUCGCCAUUGCCUUCAAACUCUGCAAAAAUUCAAUGGACAAGUCACCUGAAAAAUUGUUGGAAGCAAUGUCCAAUAUGCGUAGCUUUGGAAACCCACAUUCCGUGUCGAUUUUUGAAAUUGUGCCGUAGAAUCUGUUUGCUCGCAAAACGAGAACCUUCAAGGAAGGUAGCUUCUCUAACCAAAAUGGGAAUGUAUCAUGAACCAUAUUAUUUCCCAGGUCCAGAACCUCAAGUGCUGUGCAAUUGGCUAAUGAUCUCGACAGCUCCCCGUCCAAUUUAUUCCCAGCUAUUUUGAGUAACCCUAGUCGAGUGGGUUGAAGGAAAUCAAUGGAUAGUUCACCAGAAAACUGGUUUGAAGCAAUGUCCAAUACAUCCAAAGUUGGGAAAACAGAUUUAUGUUUGAAAUGUUUAAUUUGACCAUAAAAUCUAUUUUCCCGCAAUAUUAGAACCGUCAAGUAAGGCAAUUUCUCCAACCAAAAAGGGAAUGUAUCAUUCAUCUUGUUGUUUCCCACGUCCAAAACUUCAAGCUGAGUGCAUUCAGCUAAUGAUCUGGGCAACUUCCCUUCCAGUCUAUUCUCACUAAUUUUGAGAAUUUGUAGUUUGGUUGCUUUUGAAAAUUUUGGUAACAUUCCACUGAAGUUAUUUCCUUGCAGAUUCAAGAAAUAGCAUUCAUUUUGCCUAAGCAAUUUGGAAUUGGGCCACUCAAAUUGUUACAAGAUAGACCGAAACUGCCAAAUUGACUCAUAUUGCCCAAGCAAUUUGGAAUUGACCCACUCAAAUUGUUAGAAGAUGCAUAAAAACUGCCAAGUUGACUCAUAUUGCAUAACCAAUUUGGAAUUGGGCCACUCAAAUUGUUAUAAGAUGCGUCGAAAUAGAAAAAGCCUCGUGAAAAAGUUGAAAGGUCCAAAGAUGAGAGAUGGUUAUUAGCAAGAGACAGAUACCGCAAACUUUUUUUCCACACCCUGUUUGGUAUUGCACCACUUAUUUUAUUAUUUGAAAGGUCCAGAAAUUAUUUUUGACUCUUUAAGAACUCCGGAAACGCACUUAUGUUACAGGAUCCCAGAUACAAUCGCCUCAACAUUGGGAAAGAGAAGUUUGCAUCACUUAAGGGAAGUUGUUUUGGAAAAUCAAUCAUAUUGAAAGAAAGGUACACCUGUGAAAGAGUGCUCUUCCACAACCAAUUAGGCACAAUACCAUGGAUAUGGUUGUUAGAAAGUUCCAGAGAAAUCAACUUGUCUUUUGUUUUGAUGAAUUCUGGGAAUUCAGUAAGGUUGCAUGAACUUAGCCUUAGGCUUUCUAAUAGGGGAAAAGUAAGACUUAUGUUGUCACUUUCAAUUAAGAAGCUUAUAUUGUUUAGCGAGAGAGUCCUUAAGUUCUUGAGUUGGACACACAUGUCAAGCUUCAUGGAACUGAAGCUAUUACCUUCGAUAUAAAGCCAUUCAAGCCGUGGAAGUUGAAGGAUUGACUUUGGGAUUGGUCCUGUUAAAUAAUUAUUGCCUAUAUAUAGUACUUCAAUCAAAGAAGAAGAUGCAUUGGGGAACUCAUUAAUUUUCCCAACCAAUUGAUUGUCUCCAUGAUGCAGGAUCUUCAACGAUGGAAGAGUGAAUAAAGAAGAAUGUAUUGAUCCAAAAAGCUUGAUCCCAUCCAAAUUGUGAUUUACAAGAUUAGGAACUCCAAAUCUAUGAAACAAAGGGGUUAAACCACUGAAAUUAUUAUAUCUUAGAUUCAAGUUCACGAGGUGACUAAGAUUUGCAAUUGACGAUGGAAUGGGUCCAAAAAAGUUGCAAGAAGAAAGAUGUAAAUUUGUCAGGAACUUAACAUUACCAACCAAUUCAAGUAGUUUUCCACUGAAAUUUGUAAAAGAAAGCGACAAACUCUGUAAAGCAUUGUUUGCUGGAAAUUCUGGCAACUGACCCAUAAGUUGGCCAUUGCCUGAAAUGUCAAUGCUUUGAAUUUUUGGCAAUAAGAGAAUUCCGGUUGGAAAAUGCCCACGCAAAUUACAGUACCUCAAACUGAGAGAAACCAAACGAGAGGAAGUUUCCAAGAAAUUGGGAGGUAAAUAAGAGAUUGGGUUCCCACCAAGGAUAAGUUUGGAAAGAAAAGAGAGUCUUGAGAGAGAAGAACAUAAUGGACCUUUCAAACCACAGCUUGACAGACUCAACACAUGCAGGUUUGGAAGUACAAGAGAUGUGGUUUCACACCAUUUAGCACUUUGAGUUGAAAUGUCCACACUAUCCAAAUAAAGCGCUGUGAGAAACCUCAAAUUCUUGAUUAAUGUCUUGAAGUUUGGAUUCUCUAAUUUAAGAGGCUGUUGAGGUUUGUAAUAGUUGUAGAAGGCAGGGUACAGAACUUUGUAAUAUCUCAAAUAACAAGAAUCUUGAUUGGAUAGAUCAAGAGAGACUAACCUAUUUAAGAAUGAGAUCUCCACUGGAAUUUGGCCAUGGAAACAUGAGCUUGAAAGGUUGAGAUGAGUUAGAUUUUGGAGUUUAUCAAACCCAUAGGAAAACAGAGUGGUAUUAAAGUUGUUUCCAGCAAGAUUCAGGUGUUGAAGAUGAUGGAGAUCGAAUAUGGAGUGGAAGCUGCCUGAAAGGUUUUUGUAACUAAGAUCAAUGCCAACGACAUGACCAUAAGCAUCACAAGUGACUCCUUCCCAAGAACAACAAUCAGUGUUGACAUCCCAGAGGUCAAAAUUGGAAGAGAAAGUAAAAUUAGGGGCACAGUAAAGAUGACGCUGCAAUUGCAGCAGAGGAGCUCUCUGGUCAUCAAGGCAUUGCUGAGGGAGAUGAGUUUGAGGAGGUGAAAAAGACAAGACAAGAGAAAGGAAGCAUGAGAAGAGGAAGGGUGAAAUAAGGAAAUGAAGAGUGUUCAUGUUGGUUGGGUGUGAAGAAGGAUUGUGCUUGGCAUACAACUUAUUUAUACACAAAUGUGUAGUUUUCAUGUUUGGCAUAUAACUUAUUUAUUAUUAGUAUUAUUAUUAUUAUCCCAUGCUUGCAAAGGUUGACCAAAAAGACUUAACUAAAGUGGUGGAACAUUAUUUUGAUGCAGUAUUGAUUGGGCAAAAAGACUUCGAAAUUGCAUGCUAUGCCAAACAUGAAAACUACACAUUUGUGUAUAAAUAUUAGACAUAUUAGAGGGAUUGAAACUGAAAUUUAACAUUUUAUUGUAAAUUUUUUUUUUAAAAAAAAGAUAAAGGAAAGGAAAGGAAAUAAAUUAUAGAUUAAAUCUCAAAUUUAGGCAUAUUAAAGAAACUAAAUUUUAAAUUUUUUUGUAAAAUGUAAAAUUAAAAAAGAAAAGGAAAAAUGAUUGGGUAUGCGACAUGUAAAAAGAAAGAAGGUCGAAACCAAUUUUUAUAUAUAAGUAUAUAGAUUAUAUAUAAUUAUUCUUACAUAAUUUAAUUUUUUUAAUAAAAAUUACUAUUAAAAUCUUUUAAUUAAAUUUUGGUAUAACACCCAAAAGAAUUAAUUUAUAUACCAAACUAAUUUAUAAAUGAGUACUUUUAAGUCCUAAUUUAUGAAACAGUACCAAACUUAUAAAUAUGCUAUGACCUAUUGAAGGGUUUAAUUAAAUUUAACACCCCAAAUUAUAAGUUGCAUCAUUCUAAAUUUAUCUCUAAACUUCAAAAACUUUUAACUAAAUAAUAGUAAAAUAUAUUGUUGGUCUUAGUCUUAGUUUUAAUAUUUGGGAUUGCAAGCGAAUUUCUAAGUCUUAGUAUAAGAAUAGAAUGUUAUUAACCUUAGUCAUGAAAAUAAUGUUUCUACCACUUUUCUUAACUGAUUGAGAGACAUUGAUGGGUCAAAGACUAAAUUUUGUUGGUGACUUCUCAAUGAACUUGUCCAAGUGUAUCAAAUCAAUAGAAACACAAUGAAACUAAAUAAUGGUUUGGUUUGAGGAAAAUAUAAGCUAUUCUUAGUCUUUGCUUUCAUUUGCACAAUGUUUGGCACUUUUCUUAUCAUAUUUGAACUUCACUCCAUAUGUUUGCUUUCAAUUUAAAACCAUAUUUAUUAUGUGGAUUAAAUCAUAGUAUUGUUAUUCAAAUUUAAAAUAAAGAAAUUAUUUCUCAAGGUAUCUAGUUGGUAAGUAAAUAUUUGCAUUUUGUUAGCCCAUUUACAGAGUAGAUGCCAUAGUUUUAAAAGUUGCUUCACAAUUAAGCCGAGGAUCGAAUCCUCGACCACGGAUUAAGGUAAGAAAGACUCUUACCAUCUCAUCUAACUCUAGUUAUUAAAAUUAAAAUUAAUUUGAAUACCAUAAAUUCAAAUAUUAAUAUUUACAUCUAUUCCAAAUUCAUUAUACAUAAUAAUUAAAAUAUUCAAAUCUAAAUAUUAUCAAAAUUCGUACUCUGGUGAUUAAAAUAUUUGUAUCCUAUUAGUCAUAUUAAUUAUGAUAUUUUCGUCAUUUUGCUUCAUCUUUAUUCUAUUAUGAUAUUUUCAUACUAUUAAUCAUAUUUGAUGUUCGCGAUUUAUUGAUAUAAAAUUUUUAGACAUUAAAUGAUGUUAUUAUUCUAAAUAUAUGCAAGCUCGACUUUGAAGUCCAACCUAUUUUAAACAUCUUUCCUUGUUGAUUGUGGAGAAUGGACCGUGAUUGCAUUGAAAAUACCAUUGAAGAAUAAUAAUUAAAAUAAUCAUAUUUUAUACUAUAAAAUAUUUAUUAUUGAAUAUUUAUAAAUUAUAUAUAUUUUUCUCAUUAAAAUAUCAAUAUAAAUAUUUUUUAAUUAUAUAUUAAGAAUAUUAUUUAAAAUUAAAUUAAAUUAUUAAAAUUUAUUAAUAAAAUAAAAUUAUAAUAUUAAAAUUAAAAAUAUAUUAUUAAUAUAAUUAUAUUAAACUUGAUUCAAAUUAAUUUUGUAUAUAAAGAUAAAAAUAUUCAUAAAUAAGCUUUGUUCGAUAAAUUAAUUACGUUUUCCAAAAAGUCAAAUUAAUUUACAGAAAAAUGAUAUUAUUUAAAUUUCCAUACUAAAAUACUUUUAAAUUUAAUUAAAAUUAUCAAAGACGAAUGAAAUUCAUGAAAUUAAUUUAACAACUUUUCAAUUUUUCGAAAAAAUCAAUUUGAUUCUUCUUCUUUUUUCAAAAUUUAUCAAGCCAAUUGAAACACAAAAAAAUUUAAUAUUUUUAAUUUUUGACUGACAAAAAAAAUGAUACUAUGAGAUAUUUUUUAUAUUAUUAGACCUAAUCUUAAUCUUUGGCAUUCCAUGCAAAUGUCUAAAUCUUUUUGCCCCUUUACUACGGCAUUAAAACAAUGUUUAGCAAAUUUCUUAGGGAGAUGGAUUGAUGGAUAUAAGUAGUGGAAAUUUUGAUGAUACAAUUCUUCUCUUCUUAACAAUUUCUUUCAAAGAAACAUAUUUAAAUUUCCACACCGAAACUUCUUUAAUUUAAAGGAAUAAAUCUUAAAAUUAUAAACUAUGUGUUAAUGUGUAAUUGUAUACAUGAAUUUUGAUUUUAUGCAAUGUUAUACAUGAAAUUUUGAUUUGAUUCAAUUCUUGUAAUUUAUUAACACAAUUAUUGAUAUAACAACAUUUUAUGUCUAUAUAUUGUAUACAUAAAUAAUUAUAUUUAUCUAAUAUAAAAAUAAAUUGAUGUUUUUAUUUCAUUAAAUGUGUAUGAUUAAAUCAAAAUUAAAAUUUGAAUUAUACAUUUGAACCACAAUUAGAGUUCCACGUGUAUGAUUACACCAAACUAAAGUUCAUAUAUAUAAUUGCACAUUAAAUUAAAGUUUAUAUAUAAUUUUAAGUUUUAUCCCUAUUUGAAAUUAUCAAAGACAAAUGAGAUUAACGAGAUGUAUUAUAUUAUAAACAAAGUUCGAUUCUUUGAAAAAGUUAAGCUCCAAUUUCAGAAGUUUUUUUUUCCAAAGUUUAUCAAACGAAUUCAAACACUAUGAGAUUAAACAACAUAUAAUUUUUUAAAUCUAAAAUAUGGAUUUUUUUUCUUUUUUAAAUCUAAAGUCAGUUCCAAUUUUCUAGUGUUUUAGAUUGUUUACUAACACUAAAAAGCACACCACAUUGUAAGGCAUCAUUUCUUUCAUUGUAUUUUUUUUUUUUACGUAGACACCAAAAUUUCAUCGGGAUACAAAUCAGCACUUUGUGGUAAACUCAAUUUAACUCAAUUUUAAUUGUAGCAAAGCUUUUAACCGGGGGCUCUUUUUCCACCAUUUUUCUUCUAACACUUUCGGCUCCCAGCACUCUGGAGGCAUCCUCCAUCACUGAACAUUCUUCACUCACCUUCAUCAUUGCCACCACCAACCACAUCAGCAUCAGAAUCAACAUAAUCAUCUUCAUCUCAGUCACCUCUCUCACCUCUAACCCAUACCAACAUUUUUAGGGUACAAAAUUGUGCUCCAAGACACAAGCAUAGUGACACCUGAGAAUCAUCCAAUUCAUCUUCAUGUAUACGAUUUCUAUAUCAUUGCACAACGUUUAAAGAACUUCGAUCCUAAAAGGGAUACUUCUAAAUUCAACCUUGUUGAUCCACCUGUGAGGAACACCGUUGGAGUGCCUGUGAAUGGAUGGGCAACCAUCAGAUUCGUCGCUGAUAAUCCAGGUAAACACCCUUCUUCAUCAUUUCAAUUACUGUGAUUCCAUUACCAAUUUUUUACUUGUUAUUAGUAUUUUUCUUAAUCAUUUUCAUAGUAUUGUGGCAUACCAAUUCUUCCCUGCAUCUGGGAAACUAGUUUAAUGCUCUGUUUCAUUGGAUAAAUUUCCCUAAAAAGUAUGUGUACAUUGUAAUAAUAGUGUGAGAUAGUGUCGGCCUUUGGCUAACAUUGGAAAACAUACUAGAUUGUAACACAAAAAUUCUUUCAUUAUAUUUUAAUUAUUAUUAUCAUAUUAUUACAUACAAAGUUUAAUUGAAUGGUAAUUUUUAACGUAAUAAUAUUAUCAUUGAAAGGAUAAAUAGACUAAUAUAAAAACAAGUGUCAAGCUGCACUAAAACCCGGACCAACGGGUCCACCCUUUACACCCAGACCUAAAGCAUAAGACGUGAUUGAAAAAUGCUUGUAGUCAUAAGAAACUAAUUACCAUUUUCUUCAAAGAUAACGUACCUCCUGACUGGAUAUUCCAUGUCCUGUGCAUUGCUAAAUGAUACAUAAAAUUACAAUAGAAUCUGGAAAAUGAAUGUCAAUGCUACGAGUAGGAUAUGAUAGAGAAAUUUACUUUUCAACAACUAUAUAUAUCAACUACCUUUUCAAAUUAGAAAGACUAAUGCUUAAUUAGACUAAUGCUUAAUUACCAGCUAAUUUUGAAACAAGAAUUCUGAUGGAGUCACCUACACCUUACCUUAAACAUGAUAAUGCUGGCAAUUAUGGUGAACGUUGUGAACAUGACAUAGUAAACAGGACAUACAACAGUAGUAUGAAAAGUGUCUAAAGCAUGCAAAAUUGUAAGCUUUUAGUAGCAUCAAGAAUAAUAACAACUUAAAUUUAGAGUCAAUCAUCAUAUUAAAUCAAGAAUAUAAGUUGAAAGAAAUUAUUUUUUUAAAAAACACAUUUAUGCUUUUUUAUCCUAUAAGCAAUUUAAUAAUGAACAAAUUGAUCUCUCAACAAAAAUUACAAAAUAUUUCAAAAUAGUUUUUAAAAUUCAAAAUAUUUAUAAAAAAAUUAAAUUAUAUUUAUUUUUUCAAUUGUAAGAAUAUUUUUAUUAUUUUGUUUUGAAAAAGUUUUCAAAUGUAUAUAGUUUUAAAUUUAUGUGCUCUAACAUUGAAUUAGUUAUCCUAUAACAAGAUUUUAAUUUGACAUAUUUAAUUUUUUAAUUGAACUUGAAUAAUUUCACUCGAUUCAAUUUGACUCGAAUUUUAUUUCACUCGACUCAAUUCGAAAAAAUGUCAAAUCAAGUUAGGAUGAUAAAUAGGACUCAUUAGUUCAAUUAACUCAAAAAAUUUUCACUUGAUUCGAUUAAACACUCAUAAAAAUCAUCAAAAAUAAAUGAGACGGAGAUAAUUUGCUGAAGGAUAAGAUGAAAUGUGUUUUAGAAAUUAACAUUUUUUUUCUUUGGCAUGCAAGCUAAUGUUCAAGUCUUUUUACCCAAUAAUGAGUACUCCUAAAUCCAACUUAUAAAUAUGUUAUGAUCUACCAACGGGCUUAAUUAAAUCCAACACCCCAAAUUAUGGGCUCAACUCUAAAUUCAAGAUUUGGCAUUGCAUGCAAAUGUCUAAGUCUUUGCCCGAUCCUUACUAGAUGAAAACAAUGGUUUACCACUUUGUUUAAGUCAAGUCAUUAUAAACACAAAAAUAAAGCAUUUGUGUUAGCUGGUUGAGAUGGAUUGAUGAGUGAAAAUUAUGAUGACCACACAAUUUCUGCGAAACUUCGAUUGGUACAAAAUAAGUGCGAGGCUGUACCAAAACCCAACAUGUGUUUGAUAAAAUAAAAACCCAAUGUGUCAGCAAAAGGUGGGAGUAGCAGCAGCAGCUGUCUCUUUACACAAUCAGUACAAUGUCCAUCAGAUAUGGCUUUCAUGUUUGCUGGCUGUGAAGGAGGAUUGUUUCCAUACAACUUAUUUAUACACAAAUUAGUUCUUUCCAUACAUUAUUUUGAAUUUUGGACUAAGCCCGAUCACUACUGCAUCAAUGUUGUACCACUAACUUUAUUUUGGUCAAUUAAUAAAAAAAAAUGGAAUUGUGGUGAUUUUUUUUAGCUGAUUGAGAUAAAAUGAUGGCUCAAAGACUAAAUUUUCUCAUAACUUUGAUGACUUUUCAAUGAACUUAAAGUGUAUGGAAUCAAUAGAAAUUUAUGGAAUGAGAUAUUAUUGGACUUAGUCUUAGCCUUUUGGCACUGUAUGCAAAUGUCUAAAUCUUUUUUACCCCAUCAAAACAAUGUUUAGCAAGUUUCUUAUGUAGUUGAGAUGGAUUGAUGGGCACAAGUAGCGGAAAUUUUGAUGAUAAAAUGUUUACAAUUUUCCUCUUCUUAGCAAUUUCUUUGAAAGAAACAUAUUUAAAUUUUCACAAUAAAAUUUCUUUAGAUUUAAUUGAAAUUAUCAAAGAAAAAUGAGAUUGACAAGAUAUCUUAUAUUAUUAACAAUUUUUCGAUUCUUUCAAAAAAUUAAUUUCAAUUUCAAAAGUUUUUUGAAAUUAAUAGAACUAUCAUUGAAAGGAUAAACAAACUAGUAUAAAAAUAAGUGUCCGGCUGAACUAAAACUCAGACCAACAGGUCCACCCUUUACACCCGGUCCUAAAGCCCAACACGUGAUUGAUAAAAUAUAAAGCUAAUAUCUGUUUGGAAGAGCAAAGGAUGAGAGUAGCAGCAUCUGCGUCUCUUUACACAAUCCGUCCAAUGUCCAUCAGAUAUGGCUUCCAUCAACAUCAUGCCAUUAAAUCUCCUCAGCUGUACAAAUAUUCUGAAGAUAAAAUAAUUGAAGUAAAAGUAAAUUGCAUAUAAAAGAAAGCUUGGGCAGCCAUUUCCUUGUUUAUAAUAUCAUUAUUAGCAUGGAAAUUCAGUAGCAGUGAAACAUUGCAUCCCCCAAAUCCACAGGGACCUGGAUGCAAAAUGAAUAAACACUAAUAUAUACUCAUGGAAAACUACAAAAGGAAAAAAGUGCAUAUAAAGCAAAAUUACAAACCAGUGGAUUGAUCUUGUUAGGAUCAUUGCCUACAUUCUUCAUGAACCUCACAACUGUACAUUCCAUGUCCUGCUUCAAGUACCUCCUGCAUUGCUCAAUGGUAACAUCAAAUUACAAGUACGAUAUAAUAGUGAACUUGGUAAAGACAGCAAAAAAUGAGGUUAUAUAUAUAUAUAUAUAUAUCAACUAUCUGUUCAAAUUAGAAAGACAAAUGCUUACCAGCUAAUUUUGAAGAAAGAAUUCUGAUGGAGUCACCUAUAUCUUCUGCUAUUUCUUUUCCCACACUUUUUGAACUUGUCCACCCAUUUGUUUCCCAACUCAUUCAGCACUGUAUAUCCAAUACAUAGCCCAACGACUAAUCCACUAGCAUAACCUAUCAACGCAAUUUUCCAAGUAGACAGAGCAUAUAACCAUGAAUCUUCAUCUUCCCCUGGAGGUGGUGGCAUUGGAAGACCAACUUCAUUGCAUUUUCUUGACAAUGGCAGCCCACACAAUUUUGGGUUCCCACGGUAGGAAUCAUUUGUAAAUGUAAUGAAUUGGUUGCUUUGUGGUAUGCUCCCUUCAAGUUGGUUGUAUGACAAGUUCAAUGCUUCCAGGAAAGUUAGACUUGUAAGUUGUGGAGGAAUCUUCCCUGACAGCUUGUUUCUUGAGAGAUCCAAAGAUUCGAGGUCUUUUAGAUUUUGAAGUGCUAAUGGGAUUUCACUAGAGAAGCUAUUGUUGGAUAAGUUCAUCACUCUGAGUGACCUCAGCAUUUGUAUUUCUUCUGGUAUUCUCCCAUGGAAACUAUUGUUGGAAAGGUCAAGACAAGUAAGAAUUGCCAAGACUUUUUGGUAGAACAUUUCAAUCCCUUUGUUAACAAUUGUCACAGAGUCUUGAUAAUAAUUCUCUCCGAUAUAAUUCAGCUUAGCCUUUUCGUCAUUAGUCAUCUUCGCCAUUGCCUUCAAACUCUGCAAAAAUUCAAUGGACAAGUCACCUGAAAAAUUGUUGGAAGCAAUGUCCAAUAUACGUAGCUUUGGAAACCCACAUUCCGUGUCGAUUUUUGAAAUUGUACCGUAGAAUCUGUUUGCUCGCAAAACGAGAACCUUCAAGGAAGGUAGCUUCUCUAGCCAAAAUGGGAAUGUAUCAUGAACCAUAUUAUUUCCGAGGUCCAGAACCUCAAGUGCUGUGCAAUUGGCUAAUGAUCUCGACAGCUUCCCUUCCAAUUUAUUCCCACCUAUUUUGAGUGACCUUACUCUAGUGGGUUGAAGGAAAUCAAUGGAUAGUUCACCAGAAAACUGGUUUGAAGCAAUGUCCAAUACAUCCAAAGUUGGGAAAACAGAUUUAUGUUUGAAAUGUUUAAUUUGACCAUAAAACCUGUUUUCCCGCAAAAUGAGAACCUUUAGCGCAGGCAAUUUCUCCAACCAAAAAGGGAAUGUAUCAUUGAUCAUGUUGCUUCCUACAUCCAAAACCAUAAGUUGAGUGCAUUUUGCUAAUGAUCUGGGCAACUUCCCUUCCAAUCUAUUCUCACUAACUUUCAGAAAUUGCAGUUGGGUUGCUUUUGAAAAUUUUGGUAUCAUUCCACUGAAGUUAUUUCCUUGCAAACCCAACCAACUCAGAGCACUCAUAUUGCCCAAGCAAUUUGGAAUUGGGCCACUCAAAUUGUUAUAAGAUACAUCGAAACUGUAAAGUUGACUCAUAUUGCAUAACCAAUUUGGAAUUGGGCCACUCGAAUUGUUAUAAGAUGCAUCUAAACCGCUAAGCUGACUCAUAUUGCAUAACCAAUUUGGAAUUGGGCCACUCAAAUUGUUAUAAGAUGCAUCUAAACCGCUAAGCUGACUCAUAUUGCAUAACCAAUUUGGAAUUGGGCCACUCAAAUUGUUAGAAGAUGCGUCGAAUUCUUCUAAAUUUUCUUGACUCUUUAAGAACUCCGGAAAUGCACUUAUGUUACAAGAUUCCAGACGCAAUCGCCUCAACAUUGGGAAAGAGAAGUUUGCAUCACUUAAAGGAAGUUGUUUUGGAAAAUCAAUCACAUUGAAAGAAAGGUCUAAGGAUAAAAGACUGCUCUUCCACAACCAAUUAGGCACAACACCAUGGAUAUGGUUGCUAGAAAGAUCUAAGUCAACCAACUUGUCUUGUGUUUUGAUGAACUCUGGAAACGCACUUAUGUUACAGGAUGUCAAACGCAAGUCUUUCAACAUUGGAAAUGAAAAGUUUGCAUCAUUUAAGGGAAGCUGUUUUGGAAAAUCAAUCAUAUUGAAAGAAAGGUCUACCCAUGAAAGACUGCUCUUCCACAACCAAUUGGGCACAAAACCAUGGAUAUGGUUGUUAGAAAGAUCUAAGCCAACCAACUUGUCUUGCCUUUUAAUGAAUUCUGGAAAUUCAGUAAGGUUGCAUGACCAUAGCCUUAGUGUCUCUAAUUGGGGUAAAGUAAGACUUCUGUUGUCGCUUUCAAUUAACAAGCUUAUAUUGUUUAGCCAGAGAGUCCUUAAGUUGUUGAGUUGGACAAACAUGUCAAGCUUCAUGGAACUGAAGCUAUUGCUUUCAAUAUAAAGCCAUUCAAGCCUUGGAAGUUGAAGGAUUGACUUUGGGAUUGGUCCUGUUAAAUAAUUAUUGCCUAUAUAUAAUUCUUGAAUCAAAGAAGAAGAUGCAUUGGGGAACUCAUCAAUUUUCCCAACCAAGUGAUUUUCUCCAAGAUACAGGGUCUUUAAUGAUGGAAGAGUGAAUAAAGAAGAAUGUAUUGAUCCAGAAAGCAUGUUCCCUCCCAGAUAUAGGUUGACCAGGUGACUAAGAUUUGUAAUUGACGAUGGAAUAGGUCCAAAAAAAUUGCAAUAAGAAAGCUCUAAAUUUGUCAGGAACUUAAGAUUACCAAUCGAUUCAGGUAGUUUUCCACUGAAAUUUGUAUGAUAAAGUGACAGACUCAGUAAUGCAUUGUUUGCUGGAAAUUCUGGCAACUGACCCAUAAGUUGGUCAUUGCGUGAAAUGUCAAUGCUUUGAAUUUUUGGCAAUAAGAGAAUUCCGGUUGGAAAAUGCCCACGCAAAUUACAGUACCUCAAACUGAGAGAAACCAAACGAGAGGAAAUUUCCAAGAAAUUGGGAGGUAAAUAAGAGAUUGGGUUCCCAUCAAGGAUAAGUUUGGAAAGAAAAGAGAGUCUUGAGAGUGAAGAACAUAAUGGACCUUUCAAACCACAGCUUGACAGACUCAACACAUGCAGGUUUGGAAGUACAAGAGAUGUGGUUUCACACCAUUUAGUACUUUGAGUUGAAAUGUCGACACCAUCCAAAUAAAGCUCCGUGAGAAACUUCAAAUUCUUGAUAAAUGUCUUGAAGUUUGGUUUCUCCAAUUUUAAAGUAGCUGAAUUAUAAUCGUAACCAUUUCUCCAAUAGCAAUCAUCUUGAUAAGAUAGGUUCAGAGAGACUAACCUUGUUAAGAAUGAGAUCUUCAUUGGAAUUUGGCCAUGGAAACAUGAGCUUGAAAGGUUGAGAUGAGUUAGAUUUUGGAGUUUAUCAAACCCAUAGGAAAACAGAGUGGUAUUAAAGUUGUUUCCAGCAAGAUUAAGGUGUUGAAGAUGAUGGAGAUCUAAUAUGGAGUUGAAGCCGCCUGAAAGGUUUUUGUAACUAAGAUCAAUGCCAACAACAUGACCAUAAGCAUCACAAGUGACUCCUUCCCAAGAACAACAAUCAGUGUUGACAUCCCAGAGGUCGAAUUUGGAAGAGAAAGUAAAAUUAGGGGCAUAGUAAAGAUGAUGCUGCAGUUGCAGGAGAGGAGCUCUCUGGUCAUCAAGGCAUUGCUUAGGGAGAUGAGUUUGAGGAG